Molecule: ribosomal RNA, 465 nt
Filed under: uncultured bacterium
Lineage: Bacteria
Description: partial 16S ribosomal RNA
Rfam family: Bacterial small subunit ribosomal RNA
Source: RNAcentral
CCUACGGGGGGCAGCAGUGGGGAAUAUUGCGCAAUGGGCGAAAGCCUGACGCAGCGACGCCGCGUGAGGGAUGAAGGUCUUCGGAUCGUAAACCUCUGUCAGCAGGGAAGAACGGUCACUGUGCUAAUCAGCAGUGAAUUGACGGUACCUGCAAAGGAAGCACCGGCUAACUCCGUGCCAGCAGCCGCGGUAAUACGGAGGGUGCGAGCGUUAAUCGGAAUUACUGGGCGUAAAGCGCUCGUAGGCGGUAUGUCAAGUCAAGGGUGAAAUCCCCGCGCUCAACGUGGGAACUGCCUUUGAAACUGGCAAACUGGAGUGUGUGAGAGGAGAGUGGAAUUCCAGGUGUAGGAGUGAAAUCCGUAGAUAUCUGGAGGAACAUCAGUGGCGAAGGCGACUAUCUGGAACAUAACUGACGCUGAGGAGCGAAAGCGUGGGUAGCAAACAGGAUUAGAUACCCCAGUAGUC